This 468-nucleotide ribosomal RNA is filed under the name uncultured bacterium. Its description in RNAcentral is "partial 16S ribosomal RNA". It matches the Rfam family "Bacterial small subunit ribosomal RNA", at positions 28 to 507 of the family's 1533-position model. The record is from RNAcentral.
GACGAACGCUGGCGGCGUGCUUAACACAUGCAAGUCGAACGGAAAGGCCCUGCUUUUGUGGGGUGCUCGAGUGGCGAACGGGUGAGUAACACGUGAGUAACCUGCCCUUGACUUUGGGAUAACUUCAGGAAACUGGAGCUAAUACCGGAUAGGAGCUCCUGCUGCAUGGUGGGGGUUGGAAAGUUUCGGCGGUUGGGGAUGGACUCGCGGCUUAUCAGCUUGUUGGUGGGGUAGUGGCUUACCAAGGCUUUGACGGGUAGCCGGCCUGAGAGGGUGACCGGCCACAUUGGGACUGAGAUACGGCCCAGACUCCUACGGGAGGCAGCAGUGGGGAAUAUUGCACGAUGGGCGGAAGCCUGAUGCAGCAACGCCGCGUGCGGGAUGACGGCCUUCGGGUUGUAAACCGCUUUCGCCUGUGACGAAGCGUGAGUGACGGUAAUGGGUAAAGAAGCACCGGCUAACUACGUG